This 1398-nucleotide ribosomal RNA is filed under the name Parasergestes armatus. Its description in RNAcentral is "partial large subunit ribosomal RNA". The stretch from base 625 to 1398 matches the Rfam family "Archaeal large subunit ribosomal RNA", at positions 1423 to 2841 of the family's 2987-position model. The record is from RNAcentral. Lineage: Eukaryota; Metazoa; Arthropoda; Malacostraca; Decapoda; Sergestidae.
AAUCAAUAUCUUGCUUUAAAUCUCAAAAGUCAAAGGUAAAAUCAUUACAAAAAUAAUUUAAAAAAAUAAAUCAAAGUAAAGUUUAUUGAAAUAAUAACUAGAAGCUAUAGAAUAAAGUACUGCAAAGGAAAGAUGAAAUAAACUGAAAUAUUAAAAUUAUAUAAAGCAAUUGUUAGUUUGUGUACCUUGUGUAUCAGGGAAAAUCAAAUCAAGAUCUGUUAAUAAAGUAAAUCUCGAAAAAAGAAGAGCUAAUACAAUAAAAACUUACCGUAUUAAAGGUAUUUUAAAUUCUGUAUUGGUAAUGAAAUGUUAAUCGUUUCUUUAUAUCUAGUUAUAAAUGAAUUAAAUUUAAUUUAGUAAUAUAUUCCUUCCCCUCCUAAUAUAUUACAAAGAAAAGGAGGAAAAGCUUCUUUUUCUAAAAAUAAUUUGAUUGAGUUUACAGAGAAUAGAUUGAAAUUUAUUUUAAAAUUAGACUUAGAAGUAGUCAUAUUAGUAAAGUGUUUUAACUAAUAAAGCUAAAUUAUUAAUAUUUAUAUAUUGUAAAACCUGUUUUAGUAGUUUAUAAAUUAAGAAAUCAGUGUUCUUAAAUGUUAUAAUGAUGUUACUAGUAGAUAAUUUAAUAUACAUAUGUACUUAAUAUAAAAAUUGAAAUAAUAUUAAAACUAUAAAUAGAUAAGGUUGUAAAAAUAUAAUGAAGGAACUCGGCAAAUACAUACCACUUUUGCCUGUUUAUCAAAAACAUGUCUGUAUGAAGGUGUAUAGAGUCUGGCCUGCCCACUGACUUAAGGUUGUUUAAAGGGCCGCGGUAUUUUGACCGUGCGAAGGUAGCAUAAUCAUUAGUCUUUUAAUUGAAGGCUUGUAUGAAUGGUCGGACAAAAAGUGAGCUGUCUACAAUUAUAAAAAUUGAAUCUGACCUUUAAGUGAAAAGGCUUAAAUAUAACAAAGUGACGAUAAGACCCUAUAAAGCUUUAAAGCUUGAAUUUUUUAUUACAAAUUAUUAAAUAAUAUAACUUAAUCUAAAAGGAAGCUUUUUUGUUGGGGCGACAAAAAUAUAAAUAAAUAACUGUUUUUGUUUCAGUAAAACAACGAUAAUUGGACUAGAAAAUGAUCCUUUAUUAAAGAUUAAAAGAUUAAGUUACUUUAGGGAUAACAGCGUAAUCUUCUUUGAGAGUUCAUAUCGACAAGAAGGGUUGCGACCUCGAUGUUGAAUUAAGGUUCCUUUAUGGUGUAGCAGUUAUAACAGGAGGUCUGUUCGACCUUUAAAUCCUUACAUGAUUUGAGUUCAGACCGGCGUAAGCCAGGUCGGUUUCUAUCUUUUGUAUAAUAAAAGCUAUCUUAGUACGAAAGGAUUAGGUAGUUGAAAUAAUUUUAAACACUAAGGUUAAUGUUAAUUGUUUA